This 253-nucleotide ribosomal RNA is filed under the name uncultured bacterium. Its description in RNAcentral is "partial 16S ribosomal RNA". It matches the Rfam family "Bacterial small subunit ribosomal RNA", at positions 524 to 776 of the family's 1533-position model. The record is from RNAcentral.
UACGAAGGGGGCUAGCGUUGUUCGGAUUUACUGGGCGUAAAGCGCACGUAGGCGGAUCGUUAAGUCGGGGGUGAAAUCCUGGAGCUCAACUCCAGAACUGCCUUCGAUACUGGCGAUCUUGAGUCCGGAAGAGGUGAGUGGAACUCCUAGUGUAGAGGUGGAAUUCGUAGAUAUUAGGAAGAACACCAGUGGCGAAGGCGGCUCACUGGUCCGGUACUGACGCUGAGGUGCGAAUGCGUGGGGAGCAAACAGG